GACGAACGCUGGCGGCGUGCCUAAUACAUGCAAGUUGAGCGAUGAAGAUUUGUUCUUGCGCCAAUUUGGAGAGCAGCGCACGGGUGAGUAACGCGUGUAGAAUCUGCCUUUGAGCGGGGGACAACAUUUGAAAACGAAUGCUAAUACCGCAUAAUAACUUUAAACAUAAUUGUUAAGUUUGAAAGAUGCAAUUGCAGCACUCAAAGAUGAUCCAGCGUUGUAUUAGCUAGUUGGUGAGGUAAAGGCUCACCAAGGCGAGGCUACAUAGCCGACCUGAGAGGGUGAGCGGCCACAUUGGGACUGAGACACGGCCCAAACGCCUAAGGGAGGCAGCAGUAGGGAAUCGUCGGCAAGGGACGAAAGUCUGACCGAGCAACGCCGAGUGAGUGAAGAAGGGUUUCGGAUCGUAAAACUCUGUUGGUAGAGAAGAACGUUGGUGAGAGUGGAAAGCUCAUCAAGUGACGGUAACUACCCAGAAAGGGACGGCUAACUACGUG
This 497-nucleotide ribosomal RNA is filed under the name uncultured bacterium. Its description in RNAcentral is "partial 16S ribosomal RNA". It matches the Rfam family "Bacterial small subunit ribosomal RNA", at positions 28 to 507 of the family's 1533-position model. The record is from RNAcentral.